RNAcentral lists this non-coding RNA (23 nucleotides) under Mus musculus (house mouse). The record is from miRBase by way of RNAcentral. Lineage: Eukaryota; Metazoa; Chordata; Mammalia; Rodentia; Muridae.
UUGAGUUGAGACUGUCAGUAGGU